CACGUAGUUAGCCGGGGCUUCUUAGUCAGGUACCGUCAUUAUCUUCCCUGCUGAUAGAGCUUUACAUACCGAAAUACUUCUUCACUCACGCGGCGUCGCUGCAUCAGGGUUUCCCCCAUUGUGCAAUAUUCCCCACUGCUGCCUCCCGUAGGAGCCUGGGCCGUGUCUCAGUCCCAAUGUGGCCGUUCGCUCUCUCAAGCCGGCUACUGAUCGUCGCCUUGGUAGGCCGUUACCCCACCAACAAGCUAAUCAGACGCGGGUCCAUCUCACAGCGAUAAAUCUUUGAAAGGAUCGUCAUGCGGCAAUCCCUUGUUAUGCGGUAUUAGCAGCCGUUUCCGGCUGUUCGUCCCCCUCUGUGAGGCAGGUUACCCACGCGUUACUCACCCGUCCGCCACUCAGUCAUUACCAUCUUCCCUACCGAAAAGUUCCGUCGGUAGCGCUUCGUUCGACUUUGCAUGUGUUAGCACGCCGCCAGCGUUCAUCCUGAGCCAGGACUCAAACUU
This 503-nucleotide ribosomal RNA is filed under the name uncultured Lachnospiraceae bacterium. Its description in RNAcentral is "partial 16S ribosomal RNA". Lineage: Bacteria; Bacillati; Bacillota; Clostridia; Lachnospirales; Lachnospiraceae. The record is from RNAcentral.